RNAcentral lists this long non-coding RNA (624 nucleotides) under Felis catus (domestic cat). RNAcentral describes it as "lncRNA (ENSFCAG00000048413.1)". Lineage: Eukaryota; Metazoa; Chordata; Mammalia; Carnivora; Felidae. The record is from RNAcentral.
GGAGCCCUUGGUGCCAGCAAGAUCAUUGCCUAAGCAACCUGGAGUGAGCCCUGGAAUCAUUCCAGACAACCCAGGGCACUCAACUGGAAGACCGCUGGCCUAACGGUUGCUGCAUCUUCUGUGGUGGCCGCUUGUGGGUCCUACAUAGAUGGUCCGACACCCUCGUUCCCAUUCACACCCUCUGUGUCAGACCUGAGGCCUCACCUGAGGACCCCCCACUUGCGGCCACAGCCUGGGAAAAUGUAUGCAGUCAGGGCCGCGGUGGCUUCGAGGAGCAGAAGUGGGCAGACAGCUGUUCUGCAUUGAGCCUCCGCAGAAUCAGCCUGUCUGGACCAUCACCAACCUUACGCCGGAGUUGGCCCCGGCUUGAGUGUGAGACUGCAUGACACAAAGAUGUGCUUGAUCCAAAGAUCUCCCACACCAGCCUGUCAUGGUGCCUGGUGGCCAGGCCCACUAUUGGAGAGAGGUGGAGACCGAGAUGGAGAGAUGGAGAGAGACACGUGCACAGAGACGGGAGAGGCUGGGGCAGCCUCGGGGCUGGCAGAUAUCACUCCCUCCUUCAUUUCUUCAAGUACUCGCUACGUGACCCUGGCUUUCCCUGUCCCCAGAGGGGCUCAGCCAUAG